RNAcentral lists this long non-coding RNA (256 nucleotides) under Homo sapiens (human). RNAcentral describes it as "HSALNT0178232". The record is from RNAcentral. Lineage: Eukaryota; Metazoa; Chordata; Mammalia; Primates; Hominidae.
UGCAAAUUGAAUGUCUCGAAAGCAACUUUUAAGCAAGUCUGUUAGCAACAAAUCCCUCCAGAGCAUUAUGCUUGCAUUUUGGGUAACUACAACCAUAUCUUUGAUGCCCAUUUUAGAUUAUUGUUAGGAUAGAUUGUUAGGAAUAGAAUUACUGUGUCAAAGGAUAUACAUUUUAAGAAACUUUUCAUACAUAUUGCCAACUUGUCUUCCCAAAGGUUGCGUAUCAUCAUCAGUAUAUGACAGUGACUUUCUCAGU